This 182-nucleotide ribosomal RNA is filed under the name Candidatus Bathyarchaeota archaeon. Its description in RNAcentral is "partial 16S ribosomal RNA". It matches the Rfam family "Archaeal small subunit ribosomal RNA", at positions 489 to 671 of the family's 1478-position model. Lineage: Archaea; Thermoproteati; Candidatus Bathyarchaeota. The record is from RNAcentral.
UGGUAGGGACGAUUAUUGGGCUUAAAGCGUCCGUAGCCGGCUUAGCAAGUCUCCUGUUAAAUUCAGCGACCUAAUCGUUGAGCCGCGGGAGAUACUGUUAGGCUAGGAGGCGGGAGAGGCCGACGGUAUUCUCGGGGUAGGGGUGAAAUCCUAUAAUCCCGGGAGGACCACCAGUGGCGAAG